AUUGAACGCUGGCGGCAGGCCUAACACAUGCAAGUCGAGCGGAUGAAGGGAGCUUGCUCCUGGAUUCAGCGGCGGACGGGUGAGUAAUGCCUAGGAAUCUGCCUGGUAGUGGGGGAUAACGUCCGGAAACGGGCGCUAAUACCGCAUACGUCCUGAGGGAGGAGGUGGGGGAUCUUCGGACCUCACGCUAUCAGAUGAGCCUAGGUCGGAUUAGCUAGUUGGUGGGGUAAAGGCCUACCAAGGCGACGAUCCGUAACUGGUCUGAGAGGAUGAUCAGUCACACUGGAACUGAGACACGGUCCAGACUCCUACGGGAGGCAGCAGUGGGGAAUAUUGGACAAUGGGCGAAAGCCUGAUCCAGCCAUGCCGCGUGUGUGAAGAAGGUCUUCGGAUUGUAAAGCACUUUAAGUUGGGAGGAAGGGCAGUAAGUUAAUACCUUGCUGUUUUGACGUUACCAACAGAAUAAGCACCGGCUAACUUCGUG
Molecule: ribosomal RNA, 484 nt
Filed under: uncultured bacterium
Lineage: Bacteria
Description: partial 16S ribosomal RNA
Rfam family: Bacterial small subunit ribosomal RNA
Source: RNAcentral